UCCAGACUCCUACGGGAGGCAGCAGUGGGGGAUAUUGCACAAUGGGGGAAACCCUGAUGCAGCGACGCCGCGUGGGUGAAGAAGUAUUUCGGUAUGUAAAGCCCUAUCAGCAGGGAAGAAAGAAGACGGUACCUGACUAAGAAGCCCCGGCUAACUACGUGCCAGCAGCCGCGGUAAUACGUAGGGGGCGAGCGUUAUCCGGAUUCACUGGGUGUAAAGGGAGCGUAGACGGCCGUGCAAGCCAGGAGUGAAAGCCCGGGGCCCAACCCCGGGACUGCUCUUGGAACUGUGCGGCUGGAGUGCGGGAGGGGCAGGCGGAAUUCCUGGUGUAGCGGUGAAAUGCGUAGAUAUCAGGAGGAACACCGGCGGCGAAGGCGGCCUGCUGGACCGCGACUGACGUUGAGGCUCGAAAGCGUGGGGAGCGAACAGGAUUAGAUACCCUCGUAUAA
RNAcentral lists this ribosomal RNA (449 nucleotides) under uncultured bacterium. RNAcentral's name for it is "bacterial SSU rRNA". It matches the Rfam family "Bacterial small subunit ribosomal RNA", at positions 330 to 793 of the family's 1533-position model. The record is from RNAcentral.